UGGCGGCUGUAGCGCGGUGGUCCCACCUGACCCCAUGCCGAACUCAGAAGUGAAACGCCGUAGCGCCGAUGGUAGUGUGGGGGCCUCCCCAUGCGAGAGUAGGGAACUGCCAGGCA
RNAcentral lists this ribosomal RNA (116 nucleotides) under Cronobacter sakazakii. Lineage: Bacteria; Pseudomonadati; Pseudomonadota; Gammaproteobacteria; Enterobacterales; Enterobacteriaceae. The record is from RNAcentral.